AGGCGCAGCGUGGCCGCGGGUGGGCGGAACUGGUCGGGAUGAGUGGCGGAGGGACAGAGACCCCUGUGGGUUGUGAGGCCGCCCCGGGCGGUGGCAGCAAGAAGAGGGACUCCCUGGGGACUGCGGGCUCAGCGCACCUCAUUAUCAAGGAUCUUGGAGAAAUUCAUUCAAGGCUUUUGGAUCACAGACCAGUUAUUCAAGGUGAAACUCGUUAUUUUGUAAAAGAAUUUGAAGAAAAACGUGGUCUUCGAGAAAUGCGAGUUCUUGAAAAUUUGAAGAACAUGAUCCAUGAAACAAAUGAACAUACUCUUCCCAAAUGUAGAGACACAAUGCGGGACAGCCUCAGCCAGGUUCUCCAGAGAUUGCAAGCAGCUAAUGACUCAGUCUGUAGACUCCAACAGAGGGAACAGGAACGAAAAAAGGUGUGGACACUGCCAGCGGCUGCAGCCGACUUGGAAUGACCUGGGAGACAAAUACAACAGCAUGGAAGAUGCCAAAGUCUAUGUGGCUAAAGUGGACUGCACGGCCCACUCCGACGUGUGCUCCGCCCAGGGGGUGCGAGGAUACCCCACCUUAAAGCUUUUCAAGCCAGGCCAAGAAGCUGUGAAGUACCAGGGUCCUCGGGACUUCCAGACACUGGAAAACUGGAUGCUGCAGACACUGAACGAGGAGCCAGUGACACCAGAGCCGGAAGUGGAACCGCCCAGUGCCCCCGAGCUCAAGCAAGGGCUGUAUGAGCUCUCAGCAAGCAACUUUGAGCUGCACGUUGCACAAGGCGACCACUUUAUCAAGUUCUUCGCUCCGUGGUGUGGUCACUGCAAAGCCCUGGCUCCAACCUGGGAGCAGCUGGCUCUGGGCCUUGAACAUUCCGAAACUGUCAAGAUUGGCAAGGUUGAUUGUACACAGCACUAUGAACUCUGCUCCGGAAACCAGGUUCGUGGCUAUCCCACUCUUCUCUGGUUCCGAGAUGGGAAAAAGGUGGAUCAGUACAAGGGAAAGCGGGAUUUGGAGUCACUGAGGGAGUACGUGGAGUCGCAGCUGCAGCGCACAGAGACUGGAGCGACGGAGACCGUCACGCCCUCAGAGGCCCCGGUGCUGGCAGCUGAGCCCGAGGCUGACAAGGGCACUGUGUUGGCACUCACUGAAAAUAACUUCGAUGACACCAUUGCAGAAGGAAUAACCUUCAUCAAGUUUUAUGCUCCAUGGUGUGGUCAUUGUAAGACUCUGGCUCCUACUUGGGAGGAACUCUCUAAAAAGGAAUUCCCUGGUCUGGCGGGGGUCAAGAUCGCCGAAGUAGACUGCACUGCUGAACGGAAUAUCUGCAGCAAGUAUUCGGUACGAGGCUACCCCACGUUAUUGCUUUUCCGAGGAGGGAAGAAAGUCAGUGAGCACAGUGGAGGCAGAGACCUUGACUCGUUACACCGCUUUGUCCUGAGCCAAGCGAAAGACGAACUUUAGGAACACAGUUGGAGGUCACCUCUCCUGCCCAGCUCCCGCACCCUGCGUUUAGGAGUUCAGUCCCACAGAGGCCACUGGGUUCCCAGUGGUGGCUGUUCAGAAAGCAGAACAUACUAAGCGUGAGGUAUCUUCUUUGUGUGUGUGUUUUCCAAGCCAACACACUCUACAGAUUCUUUAUUAAGUUAAGUUUCUCUAAGUAAAUGUGUAACUCAUGGUCACUGUGUAAACAUUUUCAGUGGCGAUAUAUCCCCUUUGACCUUCUCUUGAUGAAAUUUACAUGGUUUCCUUUGAGACUAAAAUAGCGUUGAGGGAAAUGAAAUUGCUGGACUAUUUGUGGCUCCUGAGUUGAGUGAUUUUGGUGAAAGAAAGCACAUCCAAAGCAUAGUUUACCUGCCCACGAGUUCUGGAAAGGUGGCCUUGUGGCAGUAUUGACGUUCCUCUGAUCUUAAGGUCACAGUUGACUCAAUACUGUGUUGGUCCGUAGCAUGGAGCAGAUUGAAAUGCAAAAACCCACACCUCUGGAAGAUACCUUCACGGCCGCUGCUGGAGCUUCUGUUGCUGUGAAUACUUCUCUCAGUGUGAGAGGUUAGCCGUGAUGAAAGCAGCGUUACUUCUGACCGUGCCUGAGUAAGAGAAUGCUGAUGCCAUAACUUUAUGUGUCGAUACUUGUCAAAUCAGUUACUGUUCAGGGGAUCCUUCUGUUUCUCACGGGGUGAAACAUGUCUUUAGUUCCUCAUGUUAACACGAAGCCAGAGCCCACAUGAACUGUUGGAUGUCUUCCUUAGAAAGGGUAGGCAUGGAAAAUUCCACGAGGCUCAUUCUCAGUAUCUCAUUAACUCAUUGAAAGAUUCCAGUUGUAUUUGUCACCUGGGGUGACAAGACCAGACAGGCUUUCCCAGGCCUGGGUAUCCAGGGAGGCUCUGCAGCCCUGCUGAAGGGCCCUAACUAGAGUUCUAGAGUUUCUGAUUCUGUUUCUCAGUAGUCCUUUUAGAGGCUUGCUAUACUUGGUCUGCUUCAAGGAGGUCGACCUUCUAAUGUAUGAAGAAUGGGAUGCAUUUGAUCUCAAGACCAAAGACAGAUGUCAGUGGGCUGCUCUGGCCCUGGUGUGCACGGCUGUGGCAGCUGUUGAUGCCAGUGUCCUCUAACUCAUGCUGUCCUUGUGAUUAAACACCUCUAUCUCCCUUGGGAAUAAGCACAUACAGGCUUAAGCUCUAAGAUAGAUAGGUGUUUGUCCUUUUACCAUCGAGCUACUUCCCAUAAUAACCACUUUGCAUCCAACACUCUUCACCCACCUCCCAUACGCAAGGGGAUGUGGAUACUUGGCCCAAAGUAACUGGUGGUAGGAAUCUUAGAAACAAGACCACUUAUACUGUCUGUCUGAGGCAGAAGAUAACAGCAGCAUCUCGACCAGCCUCUGCCUUAAAGGAAAUCUUUAUUAAUCACGUAUGGUUCACAGAUAAUUCUUUUUUUAAAAAAACCCAACCUCCUAGAGAAGCACAACUGUCAAGAGUCUUGUACACACAACUUCAGCUUUGCAUCACGAGUCUUGUAUUCCAAGAAAAUCAAAGUGGUACAAUUUGUUUGUUUACACUAUGAUACUUUCUAAAUAAACUCUUUUUUUUUAAAAGUCUGGUCUUUCCUUCAAUGUUACAGCAAAACAGAUAUAAAAUAGACAAUAAAUUAUAGUUUAUAUUUACAAAAAAAGCUGUAAGUGCAAACAGUUGUAGAUUAUAAAUGUAUUAUUUAAUCAGUUUAGUAUGAAAUUGCCUUCCCAGUACAUGAUUGUGAAAAAGACAUUUAGAAAAUAUUCUAAAAUUUAAUCUGAGCCUCACUUUCUACAAGGGAAAUCAUGAUUUCCGUUCAUAAACAGCAUGCUCAUCCCCCUAACACCAUU
This 3352-nucleotide long non-coding RNA is filed under the name Homo sapiens (human). RNAcentral describes it as "non-protein coding lnc-EEF1E1-2:2". Lineage: Eukaryota; Metazoa; Chordata; Mammalia; Primates; Hominidae. The record is from RNAcentral.